Molecule: long non-coding RNA, 216 nt
Organism: Vigna angularis (adzuki bean)
Lineage: Eukaryota; Viridiplantae; Streptophyta; Magnoliopsida; Fabales; Fabaceae
Exons: 3
Source: RefSeq, a predicted model, not a curated record
ACAAGUAAUUCCUCAUACUGGUGGCUCUAAACCUAUCUCAAGAAGAAGACAUGAGAUGCUUUUGGAUAGUGGAAAACUGCCUAGUCGUGGAAUGUUAUAUAUUGAAACUCAUAAAAAAAAAGAUGGCUCAUUUGUAAAUGAGGCGGCAAAGGCUAUAGCGGAACAAAUUGAAGUGGGUUUGAGUCAAAGCACUACUGAUGAAUCACAGGUUUCCCC